This is a long non-coding RNA of Megalopta genalis, 522 nucleotides long. RefSeq lists it as uncharacterized. Lineage: Eukaryota; Metazoa; Arthropoda; Insecta; Hymenoptera; Halictidae. The record is from RefSeq and is a predicted model, not a curated record.
CCGAGUUCUCUUACGCUGGAAUAUCGAGAGGGUAGCCGCGACUCCGAUCUGGAUCGACCCUGGACCGAUCGUCUGGAGAAGCAGGGCUCUCGCGAUGGCAGAAAUAAGGAAAAGAAAUUAUCAUGCUCGAGUCUCGCCGGAAGUGGCUUGUAUAAAUACAGCUGUCGCGCGCUACGCAAAGGGAGGUAAGUGCAAAACAACUUAGCCUAUGUGUUUUGACUCUCUGUCACUUUUAGAGCCGGUGAACGGGGUAAGCGAUACUGUGCCAUCGCAGACGUUCUUUUAUAGAGGGAAAGAAGCACAGAAGACGGCACGAGCACCAUGUAAAGCUACGAGAUUCCUGCAGUGGAUACUUCUGUCGGACCUACCGAAGCCUCGAGUUCCCUUCUUUCUUGAUUCUUUCUUCGUUUUCAAUUCUUUUUUCAUUUUGAAUUCCUUCUCGUUUUUCUGCCUUCUUCAAAAUAAUUGUAUUUGUUGCUAUAACAAAUUCCAUCUCCAUUCGAAUAAAAUCUUCAAAAAAUC